UCUUCCGUGGCGCAAUUGGCUAGCGCGUUCGACUGUUAAGUCUAGCAAUAGACUGGCUAUCGAGAGGUUGACAGUUCAAGCCUGUCCGGGAGAG
This 94-nucleotide transfer RNA is filed under the name Aureobasidium pullulans. RNAcentral describes it as "tRNA-Asn". It matches the Rfam family "tRNA". Rfam says of the family: Transfer RNA (tRNA) molecules are approximately 80 nucleotides in length. Their secondary structure includes four short double-helical elements and three loops (D, anti-codon, and T loops). RNAcentral also lists the same sequence under 1 other name. Lineage: Eukaryota; Fungi; Ascomycota; Dothideomycetes; Dothideales; Saccotheciaceae. The record is from RNAcentral.